This is a long non-coding RNA of Strigops habroptila (Kakapo), 155 nucleotides long. RefSeq lists it as uncharacterized. Lineage: Eukaryota; Metazoa; Chordata; Aves; Psittaciformes; Psittacidae. The record is from RefSeq and is a predicted model, not a curated record. The transcript is spliced from 4 exons.
UUAAAGCACAACCACCUGAAACGUCAAAGGGAAAAUCAAGGAAAUCCCAGGUUAUAAGAUAUGUGAAUGAAUAAAUGUUAGUUUCUCUUUAAUGAGUUGAACUUAAAUUUUCAGAAUAUUUUAAGAGUGCUCUGAUCAGUGUGGAGAAUCUGCUG